This 2201-nucleotide long non-coding RNA is filed under the name Salmo salar (Atlantic salmon). RNAcentral's name for it is "lncRNA (ENSSSAG00000114342.1)". Lineage: Eukaryota; Metazoa; Chordata; Actinopteri; Salmoniformes; Salmonidae. The record is from RNAcentral.
CAGGUACGUCAACAGGUGUCAAUGCCUCUGGUUAAGUCGUGAGAAACAACGUUUUAAUAACCUGAGAAGAGUUUGCCUGAUAUUGGGAAGGUUUCUAAUCACAGAAAAGGCCUUAUUCUAGAUUUCAAACAUGAUCAAAGGAGAUCCUCCACUGAAAGUGCUUCUUAGUCCAGGACUAGGCUUAAUCUGCCCGGGAAACCAGGCCGUAACACUCAUACAUAUGCUUACAGGCAGGGGGCAGUGAUGUGUCUGUCUCAAAGGAGAAUAGAACCAUUGUAUGACAUAGUGUACUGUGGGCAGUUUCAGUGGUGUUGCCACAUCCAAGCGAACCAUGACAAUGUCAGGUAUGUUGGUAAACCAGCUCUACUGAAGCACCAAACCCUCCUUUCCACUUCAAUUCACAGGGACGAGUUAGACGAAAUGGGACAUUGUACUUUCCCUGAUGACAGCAACCCAGAAUGACUCACUUUCAUCUUUUUUUAUUCUCUCCUUUUCCAGGAGACAUGUUUGUGCUGCAGGUAAAACCAGGGCAUCACCAGAACACUAUUAUACCUGUAUACAUGUUCUCUCUCUACAGGUAAAACCAGAGCAUCACCAGAAUGCUGUUAUACCUGUAUACAUGAUCUCUCUCUACAGGUAAAACCAGAGCAUCACCAGAAUGCUGUUAUACCUGUAUACAUGAUCUCUCUCUACAGGUACAACCAGGGCAUCACCAGAACAUUGUUAUACCUGUAUACAUGAUCUCUCUCUACAGGUAAAACCAGGGCAUCACCAGAAUGCUGUUAUACCUGUAUACAUGAUCUAUUUCUACAGGUAAAACCAGGGCAUCACCAGAACACUAUUAUACCUGUAUACAUGUUCUCUCUCUACAGGUAAGUGGGAAUACCCAGACCAACCUUUUUCCCUGACAAGAGGAACUAUAAAGAUGGAAUGCAUAGGUGAACGGAUGAUCUCAGCAUGUGUGGUUCCCACUGUGAAGAAUGGAGGAGGAGGGGUGAUGGUGUGGGGGUGCUUUGCUGGUGACACUGUCAGUGACUUAUUUAGAAUUCAAGGCACACUUAACCAGCGAUACGCCAUCCCAUCUAGUUUGCGCUUAGUGGGACUAUCAUUUGUUUUUCAACAGGACAAUGACCCAACAACACCUCAAGGCUGUUUAAUAAGGGCUAUUUGACCAAGGAGGAGAGUGAUGGAGUGCUGCAUCAGAUGACCUGGCCUCCACAAUCACCCGAACUCUACCAAAUUGAGAUGGUUUGGGAUGAGUUGGACCACAGAGGGAAGGAAAAGCAGCCAACAAGUGCUCAGCAUAUGUGGGAACUCCUCCAAGACUGUUGGAAAAGCAUUCCAGGUGAAGCUAGUUGAGAGAAUGUCAAGAGUGUGCAAAGCUGUCAUCAAGUCAAAGGGUGGCUACUUUGAAGAAUCUAAAAUAUAUUUUGAUUUGUUUAAAACUUUUUUGGUUUCUACAUGAUUUCAUAUGUGUUAUUUUAUAGUUGUGAUGUCUUCACUAUUAUUCUACAAUGUAGAAUAAAGUAAAAAUAAAAUAAAACCCUUGAAUGAGUAGGUGCAUCCAAAAUUUUGACUGGUACUGUAUGUAAAUAAGAUAUGUUAUUUUUAAUAAAUUUGCGCAAAAAUAACUUUUCUGUUUGUAUUAUUUUUUUGUGUGUAGAUUGAUGAGGACAAAUGUUUUUAAUCAAUUUUAGAAUAAAACUAAUGUAACAAAAUGUGGACAAGUGAAGGGAUCUGAAUACGCUAUAUGUGACUUGCAGGAAGGGUUGCACAAUUCUGGUAAAUCUUCCAGGUUUUCCAGGAAUCCUGGUUGGAAAAUUCCUUAAUAUUCUCAAACCAGAAUAUAUAUUUUUUUAUCUGGUAAUUUGGAGAAAAUUACUGGAAUUUUGCUACCCUACUUGCAGGCCUUACGUGGCCUGUAAACCUCAAGUUUCAGACAACUGUAGGAGGGUGAAACUAGACCUCAUAUAAGGCCUUAUGAGAUAUGUAAUGUAUUGUCAAAGAGAGUAUAAUUAUAAUAUUCGCCUAGCAACUCACUUGGUGAAAGGCCACAGGACUGAACAUCAACAGAAAUCAACAACCAUGUCUCUGUCAAUAACAAAUGCAGUCAUGGGUGCAGUCACUACAAAAGGCAAGGCACACUGGGAAAUGAUAUUGGAGGCAUGGCUUAGUGGGUGUAUUAUUCAAAAUGUUCAAGC